RNAcentral lists this ribosomal RNA (633 nucleotides) under uncultured fungus. Its description in RNAcentral is "eukaryotic LSU rRNA". The stretch from base 232 to 385 matches the Rfam family "5.8S ribosomal RNA". Lineage: Eukaryota; Fungi. The record is from RNAcentral.
AGUAAAAGUCGUAACAAGGUUUCCGUAGGUGAACCUGCGGAAGGAUCAUUAAAGAGUAAGGGUGCUCAGCGCCCGACCUCCAACCCUUUGUUGUUAAAACUACCUUGUUGCUUUGGCGGGACCGCUCGGUCUCGAGCCGCUGGGGAUUCGUCCCAGGCGAGCGCCCGCCAGAGUUAAACCAAACUCUUGUUAUUUAACCGGUCGUCUGAGUUAAAAUUUUGAAUAAAUCAAAACUUUCAACAACGGAUCUCUUGGUUCUCGCAUCGAUGAAGAACGCAGCGAAAUGCGAUAAGUAAUGUGAAUUGCAGAAUUCAGUGAAUCAUCGAAUCUUUGAACGCACAUUGCGCCCCUUGGUAUUCCGAGGGGCAUGCCUGUUCGAGCGUCAUUACACCACUCAAGCUAUGCUUGGUAUUGGGCGUCGUCCUUAGUUGGGCGCGCCUUAAAGACCUCGGCGAGGCCACUCCGGCUUUAGGCGUAGUAGAAUUUAUUCGAACGUCUGUCAAAGGAGAGGAACUCUGCCGACUGAAACCUUUAUUUUUCUAGGUUGACCUCGGAUCAGGUAGGGAUACCCGCUGAACUUAAGCAUAUCAAUAAGCGGAGGAAAAGAAACCAACAGGGAUUGCCUCAGUAACG